This 253-nucleotide ribosomal RNA is filed under the name uncultured bacterium. RNAcentral's name for it is "partial 16S ribosomal RNA". It matches the Rfam family "Bacterial small subunit ribosomal RNA", at positions 524 to 776 of the family's 1533-position model. The record is from RNAcentral.
GACAUAGGUGCCAAGCGUUAGGCGGAAUCACUGGGCUUAAAGCGUGUGUAGGCGGAAUGGUAAGUACCUUGUGAAAUCCCACGGCUCAACCGUGGAACUGCUUGGUAUACUGCUUUUCUUGAGCCACUUAGGGGCAACCGGAACAAACGGUGGAGCGGUGAAAUGCGUAGAUAUCGUUUGGAACGCCAAUGGUGAAAACAGGUUGCUGGGAGUGUGCUGACGCUGAGACACGAAAGCCAGGGGAGCAAACGGG